GACGAACGCUGGCGGCGUGCUUAACACAUGCAAGUCGAACGGAAAGGCCUGCUUUCCCUUGUGGAUUGCGGGUACUCGAGUGGCGAACGGGUGAGUAACACGUGAGUGAUCUGCCCCCAACUUGGGUAUAAGCCUGGGAAACUGGGUCUAAUUCCCGAUAGGACUGCAGGGUGGUGCCUGUGGUGGAAAACGAUUUUCUAGUGGUUGGGGAUGAGCUCGCGGCCUAUCAGCUUGUUGGUGGGGUAAUGGCCUACCAAGGCGGCGACGGGUAGCCGGCCUGAGAGGGGGGACGGCCAAAUUGGGACUGGGUUACGGCCCAGACUCCUACGGGAGGCAGCAGUGGGGAAUAUAGCACAAUGGGCGGAAGCCUGAUGCAGCGACGCCGCGUGGGGGAUGACGGCAUUCGGGUUGUAAACUCCUUUCGACCGCGAGGAAGCCACCUGGUUGGAAGGGUGGUGACGGUAGCGGUAGAAGAAGCACCGGCUAACUACGUG
RNAcentral lists this ribosomal RNA (494 nucleotides) under uncultured bacterium. RNAcentral's name for it is "partial 16S ribosomal RNA". It matches the Rfam family "Bacterial small subunit ribosomal RNA", at positions 28 to 507 of the family's 1533-position model. The record is from RNAcentral.